RNAcentral lists this unclassified non-coding RNA (348 nucleotides) under soil metagenome. RNAcentral describes it as "partial contains 5.8S ribosomal RNA, internal transcribed spacer 2, and large subunit ribosomal RNA". The stretch from base 1 to 120 matches the Rfam family "5.8S ribosomal RNA", at positions 35 to 154 of the family's 154-position model. The record is from RNAcentral.
GAUGAAGAACGCAGCGAACUGCGAUAAGUAAUGUGAAUUGCAGAAUUCAGUGAAUCAUCGAGUCUUUGAACGCACAUUGCGCCCCCUGGUAUUCCGGGGGGCAUGCCUGUCCGAGCGUCAUUGCUGCCCUCAAGCACGGCUUGUGUGUUGGGCCCCCGUCCCCGGUUUCCCCCGGGGACGGGCCCGAAAGGCAGCGGCGGCACCGCGUCCGGUCCUCGAGCGUAUGGGGCUUUGUCACCCGCUCUGUAGGCCCGGCCGGCGCCAGCCGACACCCAACUUUAUUUCUAAGGUUGACCUCGGAUCAGGUAGGGAUACCCGCUGAACUUAAGCAUAUCAAUAAGCGGAGGA